Molecule: small RNA, 500 nt
Filed under: Arabidopsis thaliana (thale cress)
Lineage: Eukaryota; Viridiplantae; Streptophyta; Magnoliopsida; Brassicales; Brassicaceae
Description: ATSL295900
Source: RNAcentral
AAAAAAUUGUGUUUCAACCAUGUAUGUGAAACAUACAUAAAAGUGGGAUUAUCAGAGAGGGAAAUGAUAUAUCAUCAUAAGAAAAUGUUGAUAAAUUUAUAGAUAAUAAAAGAAUAUAUGAUUUUAAUUUCAAUUGUUAGAGAAAACACAAAAUUCGUUACCUCCGUAGAAUCGAGAGGUGAUUCAAGACGGGAAGUGGAUCAUGUCGAUGGUAGGAAGGGAAGAUGCUAUCAAAAGAAGAAUGAAAACCGAAAGGUGCAUUACCUCCAUUGUUGAAUUUUGAUUUCUCUCGGAAGCUCUUCUAUAAGUUUAAAGACAGUAUAGCUAAAGAAAUUUUUUGAGAAGAAACCAAGAAUGUGAAAUGUUGGUCUUUAAUAUUACUACUUAGGUAUACUUAAUGUAUAAACUUAAUUCAUUUACUCCAUACUAUUUUAGCUUAAUUUUCCUUUUUAAUUAUGACUCUAUGUUUUGUGUUUUCCCUUCUUUUGGUAUUUUAAUUU